GAUCAUGGCUCAGAUUGAACGCUGGCGGCAUGCUUUACACAUGCAAGUCGAACGGCAGCACAGGGAGCUUGCUCCCGGGUGGCGAGUGGCGCACGGGUGAGUAAUACAUCGGAACGUGUCCUGUUGUGGGGGAUAACUGCUCGAAAGGGUGGCUAAUACCGCAUGAGACCUGAGGGUGAAAGCGGGGGAGUCGCAAGACCUCGCGCAACUGAGCGGCCGAUNCCCG
RNAcentral lists this ribosomal RNA (226 nucleotides) under uncultured bacterium. Its description in RNAcentral is "partial 16S ribosomal RNA". It matches the Rfam family "Bacterial small subunit ribosomal RNA", at positions 15 to 239 of the family's 1533-position model. The record is from RNAcentral.